UCCUACGGGAGGCAGCAGUGGGGAAUAUUGGACAAUGGGGGCAACCCUGAUCCAGCCAUGCCGCGUGUGUGAAGAAGGCCCUCGGGUUGUAAAGCACUUUCAGCGAGGAAGAACGCCUAGCGGUUGAUACCCGCUAGGAAAGACAUCACUCGCAGAAGAAGCACCGGCUAACUCCGUGCCAGCAGCCGCGGUAAUACGGAGGGUGCAAGCGUUAAUCGGAAUUACUGGGCGUAAAGCGCGCGUAGGUGGCUUGAUAAGCCGGUUGUGAAAGCCCCGGGCUCAACCUGGGAACGGCAUCCGGAGCUGUCAAGCUAGAGUGCAGGAGAGGAAGGUAGAAUUCCCGGUGUAGCGGUGAAAUGCGUAGAAAUCGGGAGGAAUACCAGUGGCGAAGGCGGCCUUCUGGACUGACACUGACACUGAGGUGCGAAAGCGUGGGUAGCAAACAGGAUUAGAUACCCUGGUAGUCCACGCCGUAAUCGAUGUCGACCAGCCGUUGGGUGCCUAGCGCACUUUGUGGCGAAGUUAACGCGAUAAGUCGACCGCCUGGGGAGUACGGCCGCAAGGUUAAAACUCAAAUGAAUUGACGG
RNAcentral lists this ribosomal RNA (587 nucleotides) under uncultured bacterium. RNAcentral's name for it is "bacterial SSU rRNA". It matches the Rfam family "Bacterial small subunit ribosomal RNA", at positions 337 to 916 of the family's 1533-position model. The record is from RNAcentral.